Molecule: microRNA, 25 nt
Filed under: Antirrhinum majus (snapdragon)
Lineage: Eukaryota; Viridiplantae; Streptophyta; Magnoliopsida; Lamiales; Plantaginaceae
Description: putative microRNA miRNA-169a
Source: RNAcentral
AGCCAAGGAUGACUUGCCGGCGUUU